GACGAACGCUGGCGGCGUGCCUAAUACAUGCAAGUUGAGCGAUGAAGAUUGGUGCUUGCACCAAUUUGAAGAGCAGCGAACGGGUGAGUAACGCGUGGGGAAUCUGCCUUUGAGCGGGCGACAACAUUUGGAAACGAAUGCUAAUACCGCAUAAUAACUUUAAACAUAAGUUUUAAGUUUGAAAGAUGCAAUUGCAUCACUCAAAGAUGAUCCCGCGUUGUAUUAGCUAGUUGGUGAGGUAAAGGCUCACCAAGGCGAUGAUACAUAGCCGACCUGAGAGGGUGAUCGGCCACAUUGGGACUGAGACACGGCCCAAACUCCUACGGGAGGCAGCAGUAGGGAAUCUUCGGCAAUGGACGAAAGUCUGACCGAGCAACGCCGCGUGAGUGAAGAAGGUUUUCGGAUCGUAAAACUCUGUUGGUAGAGAAGAACGUUGGUGAGAGUGGAAAGCUCAUCAAGUGACGGUAACUACCCAGAAAGGGACGGCUAACUACGUG
Molecule: ribosomal RNA, 497 nt
Filed under: uncultured bacterium
Lineage: Bacteria
Description: partial 16S ribosomal RNA
Rfam family: Bacterial small subunit ribosomal RNA
Source: RNAcentral